UUGCAGAUUCUCAGUUUCUUAAAGUUUCUCUCUAACCAAACAAUCGCACAGACUAAAUCCCAGAGAUUCAAACCACCCACAAUCAAUAUCGUAACAUAGAAAAAUUACAGAUUCAAGUUCAAACAACCCACAAAAACAAUCACUGCCCAGAUUCAAGCUUCUCCAAACACAGAUUCAAGGCCUCACGAAACAAACACUACACAGAUUUGUAAAAUCAAAUAUGUUGCCUAGGCACAAAAAUGAAAAAUCAAAACUACAAAUAGAAAGUCAAUAACCAGCUGGGCUGCAACAUCGAUAUUCAAGAUUCAAUAGCAUCGGCAACAGCUGCGCAUCUUCAACAUCAGCUCAAACAUGCAACAUCUGGAACAUCGACUCAAAAACUCAACAGGGGAGAGGGUCUCUGAAGCACGUAAAAAAGGACUCAAUACGUCUGUGUGGAUGAGCAAACAUAGGAGUGGAGUGGGUCUCUGAAGGGUAUAAGAAAGGACUUGAUCACUGUGGGUGAGCAAGAAUGAAGAAACCCGUGAAUAGAAGAACUUAGAAGUGGAUCUUUGUGGGUGAGAACAAGAACGAAGAAAAGAGAAGGAAGAAGAUUCGGCUAUGGGCUGCGGCUGCCGAGGAAGGGAAGGGAAUAUGACGGCGUGCGUUGAAAAUGAGGGUGAAUUGUUUAUAAUUGUGUGCCUUUGCAUAGGCCUAAAAC
This 700-nucleotide unclassified non-coding RNA is filed under the name Hevea brasiliensis (rubber tree). The record is from RNAcentral. Lineage: Eukaryota; Viridiplantae; Streptophyta; Magnoliopsida; Malpighiales; Euphorbiaceae.